Molecule: long non-coding RNA, 1868 nt
Organism: Numida meleagris (helmeted guineafowl)
Lineage: Eukaryota; Metazoa; Chordata; Aves; Galliformes; Numididae
Exons: 4
Source: RefSeq, a predicted model, not a curated record
CCUCAGAGUGGGGGAGGCGCUAGGCAGCCUGUAGGGGAUCCGUGCCUUCAUGUGGGUUCGUUCGUGUUGUCCGAGGCGGGGGAGGUCUGAAAAUGACGCCUCGGUUUCCCAUUUGAGCAGCCUGAGCCUGCCGCAGAGCACGUGGGCCUUCACCUGCUGUAGGAGUGUCGCUUCCUUCGCGUCCCACUGUCAGCGCCAGAAGCCGUUAAGUCACACAGCGUGGACAGAUAAGCAACAAGUACAAUGCACAAAGAGGUGAAAGACACAUGAAAUCAUGUUCCAGGAUCUCAGAAAUGUGCCAAAGUCUGCCAGAAGAAAAGCAAUUGAGUACUUAGCAUUACCAAGUAAAGUAUUUCAGAUGACCAUUCUAACUUCUGCACAGAACGGCUGCAUCUUUCAUCUUUUCUUCAAGACCAUAGUCCAUGAUGGAAAAUACCUGCAGAGGGCUUGUUAUCUUCGUAGAAUAAACUGACUCUAUCUGGAGUCCUUUUCUCAGAACAACAGAACUUGUGCACGUACCGCAUGGUAAUAGUAACAAGUGUUACAGGCAACCUUCAGAGACUGUCCUUCCUUGCGGGGUCAUCUGUUGACUUAGGAUAUACUGAGUUGCCUGCCAAACACCGCUUAUAUCAAGGAUAAGUAACAAUUAUAAUGCAAACAUAAAACACAUACCAUACUGCAUUAGUAUUACUGUAGGGCAAUGGUUGGAGAAACAAAAUCCAUCAGCUAAAACUCUUCAAAGUAAUCAAUCUCCCAAUUUCACAAUGGGAAACAUUCUUCCCAUUUCCAGCAGAAAUGAAAGAACAUGUAUUUGCCGGAAUUUUUACAGAUUUUCUCCUCCAGAUUCUCAAUUGAGAUUACAAAAUCUUAACUACAUUCUGUCACGCAAUAAUAAGCUGAAAUUACCAUCUCAUCAAAUUUAGUAUUAUAAUUUUGGUUAGCAAAGCAUUGUUGCAUAUUCCCAAAGCGACGCUCCCCAGUGUUACUGAGGUUGGCUUGUUAUGAACUCAUGGCACGGACAGAGAGCUUUAUCUUAAUGAAUGCUAUCACAACAUGCACUUUUUUUUCGAAUUUUCCCAGUUUGCCAAGGCAAAUUUUAAGAUCUGUUCCUCAUAACUCAGCGAGCUCCUUCCCAUCUUUAAUACUCGUGGAUCAACCUCUCCAUUUGUGUCAACUUUUAAUAUUUAUGCAGUAAUAUUUACAAUUAAUUCCACUUUUAAAGUUAUUAAAACUCUGCAGCCUUUAUUCAGCCACGUUAAAUGUCAGCACAAGCUGCUCUGAGAUUCCCAGUGGAUCACUUUCCCAGUCUUAAAGAAGCCUUAACCAAACCAACCAGCUGACUCAGUACAGAAACAGACCGACACCAGAAGGACAGCCAAACCAGAGGUCUUUUCCUUGGCCCCAGAGAAUCUAAGCAUGUUCUGAAAAAUUAAGUACCAGUGGAUUCUACCUGUACACAGGUGUUAACAAAAACCUUUCUUCUUCCAUAAAAAGGGGAUACAGUGAUCUCAGUUUAAAAAAAAAAAGGUAACUACAGCACGUAACACACCCGAGCACCUCAGACGCCCUUAUUUAUCCACCCUCAUACUCCCAGCUCUGUGAGCACCAUUCUCAGAGCUCUGGCCAUUACUCUGCUCUAUUUGUUAGUAGGCAGCUGCUGGUAAAUCAGCUCAAGUCUGGCACUCGCUCUGCGUGCCAAAGGGACUGACUACACGUGCUAUCUGACAGCAGCUCUCAGAGGAUGGGAAGGAGAAGCACCUGGCACUGGAACUAAUUACAUCAGUUCUCUGUACCCUGAGCUAACAAAGCCUCGGAAUACAUUUUGUGGUUAUCUUACUUUAAAAUCAGUGAGAGAUGUUUCUCUCUAC